GACGUAGGGGGCCAGCGUUGUUCGGAAUUAUUGGGCGUAAAGAGCGUGUAGGCGGCCAGAUAAGUCCGCUGUGAAAUCUCGAGGCUCAACUUCGAGCUGUCGGUGGAAACUAUCUGGCUAGAGUCCGGAAGAGGAGAAUGGAAUUCCUGGUGUAGCGGUGAAAUGCGCAGAUAUCAGGAAGAACACCCGUGGCGAAGGCGGUUCUCUGGGCCGAUACUGACGCUGAGGAGCGAAAGCGUGGGGAGCGAACAGG
This 253-nucleotide ribosomal RNA is filed under the name uncultured bacterium. RNAcentral's name for it is "partial 16S ribosomal RNA". It matches the Rfam family "Bacterial small subunit ribosomal RNA", at positions 524 to 776 of the family's 1533-position model. The record is from RNAcentral.